CAACAAUUUUGGAGCAGGGUAGAUUACAGCAUCAGAACCAGGGUUGUAGAAUGAGGCUAUGGACAUUCUUGUUCCAUUAGUUUGUGCUAUCACACGGUGCUCCACACUCUUGUAUUUACCAUUUGUUAUAACCUGUUUUUGAGAAAUAAGAUGAAACGUUGCAGAGGACCAAAACGAUUGUAUAGAUCCUCUGCCAAAGUUGCAGAGGACCAAAAAGACUAAUAUGGGAAUUGAAAUGAGUUGACUUGACAAAGGAAAUGGAUUUACCUCGAGCUGAUCACCGAGGUUGACUACAAUGGAGUGGCGCAUUGGGGGAACAUCAACCCACUCGCCGUCUUUGAGAAGCUGUAGGCCACUGACCUUGUCGUCUUGGAAGAGAAGGAUGAUCCCGCCAGCAUCGGUGUGAGCGCGAAGACCCUUCACCAACUCUGGAUUGGGGCACUGAGGGUAGUUGGCUACCUUGGUUCCAAAAGUUGG
Molecule: long non-coding RNA, 477 nt
Organism: Lathyrus oleraceus (garden pea)
Lineage: Eukaryota; Viridiplantae; Streptophyta; Magnoliopsida; Fabales; Fabaceae
Exons: 2
Source: RefSeq, a predicted model, not a curated record